GCCUCAAGUUAUGUGUGACAACCCCCUGAAUUUAAGCAUAUUAAUAAGGGGAGGAAAAGAAACCAACCGGGAUUCCCUGAGUAGCUGCGAGCGAAACGGGAGAAGCUCAGCACGUAGGGAUGGCGGCCCGCCCGUCUAUCCGACUCCGUGUACUGGUACGUCUCACUAUCCGUCUUCCUAGUGGUAUUCAAGUCCAACUUGAACGUGGCUUUGAACCCAUAGAGGGUGAUAGGCCCGUAGAACACCACCCAGCGGUUGAUGGACCGAGCGUACCAUGGAGUCGUGUUGCUUGACAGUGCAGCACAAAGUGGGAGGUAAACUCCUUCUAAAGCUAAAUACGACCAUGAGACCGAUAGUAAACAAGUACCGUGUGGGAAAGUUGAAAAGCACUCUGAAUAGAGAGUCAAAUAGUACGUGAAACUGCCGAGGGUGUAAAGCCUGUUGAACUCGAUUAUCCGUAGUUCCUGGCAUCGUGGGUUUUGGCUGUCACGCAGAAGGGGGCCUUCUGUAUGCCUUGACCCUAGCCAGGAACGAGUGCGGACAUCGUGAUCCAUUACGCAAACCAAAUGCGAGCGGCGACUCCGGUUGCUGCGAGCAUAUCCAACAUCAGGUCCCAGAACAUGCGGUCGACCCUCUAGUAGUGGCGCUCAGCUUAAGGCCGGCGUCGCGAACGGGGGAUCGAGGCUCCGGUCUCGAGUUCGGCUAGUUCCGGUGUGCCGUUGGAUGCGUGAUGGGCAUUGAAGUGAACUAGAGAAGUGUGAAGCGCAUGUUUGGGCAUGUUCAAGGGCGAAAGCCUGAGCCGAGCACGACUCCGGAUCUACGGUGUACUAACUAAUCGAGGUACCUACGGGACCCGUCUUGAAACACGGACCAAGAAGUCUAUCUUGCGCGCAAGUCAAUGGGAGUAGCAAACCCAAAGGCGAAGAUAACACAACUGCAAAGUCGUUGCGGGAUUACGGGUGCACCACGGUCCGCGAGGACUGGCUAGCUGUGCCGCCCCUCCAUCCCCGGGUGUUUAGCAACGGAUCUGUAGUGCCGCGGACCCCCCGACAGGGGUGGGCAUUUGCAGAGCCAACGCGACAUACCGCGAGCGCGCAGGAUGUGACCCGAAAGAU
Molecule: ribosomal RNA, 1115 nt
Filed under: Anopheles sinensis
Lineage: Eukaryota; Metazoa; Arthropoda; Insecta; Diptera; Culicidae
Description: eukaryotic LSU rRNA
Rfam family: Eukaryotic large subunit ribosomal RNA
Source: RNAcentral